ACAAGCGGUGGAGUAUGUGGUUUAAUUCGAUGCAACGCGAAGAACUUACCUGGUCUUGACAUCCGGAGACCCUUAGGAAACUAGGGGGUGCUUCCAUCUGGAAGAAUCUGGAGACAGGUGCUGCAUGGCUGUCGUCAGCUCGUGUCGUGAGAUGUUGGGUUAAGUCCCGCAACGAGCGCAACCCUUGCCUUUAGUUGCCAGCAGUUCGGCUGGGCACUCUAAAGGGACUGCCGGUGUUAAACCGGAGGAAGGUGGGGAUGACGUCAAGUCCUCAUGGCCUUUAUGACCAGGGCUACACACGUACUACAAUGGCCGAUACAAAGGGCAGCGACACUGCGAGGUGAAGCCAAUCCCGUAAAAUCGGUCUCAGUCCGGAUUGGAGUCUGCAACUCGACUCCAUGAAGUUGGAAUCGCUAGUAAUCGUGGAUCAGCAUGCCACGGUGAAUACGUUCCCGGGCCUU
Molecule: ribosomal RNA, 461 nt
Filed under: uncultured Desulfobulbus sp.
Lineage: Bacteria; Pseudomonadati; Thermodesulfobacteriota; Desulfobulbia; Desulfobulbales; Desulfobulbaceae
Description: bacterial SSU rRNA
Rfam family: Bacterial small subunit ribosomal RNA
Source: RNAcentral